Molecule: non-coding RNA, 485 nt
Organism: Pimephales promelas (fathead minnow)
Lineage: Eukaryota; Metazoa; Chordata; Actinopteri; Cypriniformes; Leuciscidae
Source: RefSeq, a predicted model, not a curated record
CUGAAUCCUGCAUGACCCGGUCUCUCUCCUUAACACUAUGAUUUGUCCUGUCGUUGUCUGUGAACACAAACUGCUUGUUGGAGAUCUUGAUUCAGUGUCCCAUUUUUAAAGUGCGACCAAAAGGAGGACAAGAACUGAACCCCAGAGACCUGCCCUUUGACCUGCCAUUACCAACUCUCCGAAUUUUAGCAUGCUUGCCCCACUCAGCUUCUACUUGAUGUCUGCAGACGCCCGAGGUACGCUAAAAAGGGAUGACCAUCAGAGAUCGUGCAAAGCAAUAGUGGAUACAGUGGCCAUCCACCCACAAACAUCAAGGUUGCUCUAGAAGGACUACAGAGCUCGUAUAAUUGGAAGCAGCCCACGUUAACCUUGUAGAACCGCGCGAAGGUACUUGGAGAAGAGCUUCGCAGACAUCCGCCAAGGAAACUCACCGUAAAAGUGGCCCAAGAUGAAGACAUAGCCCUGGUGGAGUGACAAGUAACACC